Molecule: ribosomal RNA, 255 nt
Filed under: Salmonella enterica subsp. enterica serovar Typhimurium
Lineage: Bacteria; Pseudomonadati; Pseudomonadota; Gammaproteobacteria; Enterobacterales; Enterobacteriaceae
Description: partial 23S ribosomal RNA
Rfam family: Bacterial large subunit ribosomal RNA
Source: RNAcentral
GUAGCGCCUCGUGAAUUCAUCUCCGGGGGUAGAGCACUGUUUCGGCUAGGGGGCCAUCCCGGCUUACCAACCCGAUGCAAACUGCGAAUACCGGAGAAUGUUAUCACGGGAGACACACGGCGGGGGCGAACGUCCGUCGUGAAGAGGGAAACAACCCAGACCGCCAGCUAAGGUCCCAAAGUCAUGGUUAAGUGGGAAACGAUGUGGGAAGGCCCAGACAGCCAGGAUGUUGGCUUAGAAGCAGCCAUCAUUUAA